AAUUUUAUACACAUGAAAACACGCGAGCCGCUGAAUAUAAAAAAGAGACCUCCCCUCUCCCCCCCAAUUGCUGCGCCGCUUGUGUAGAAUUUCAUUGUCGAUCCUUUCCUCCAUUCCCUCAAGUCGGCCGAGAUCCGGCUACUCGUCGGAUUUCGCCCUCGUACGACCUGUCCACCACCUGCUCCGACGAACCAUGAAAGGCACCUGCACGUUGCUCGCCUCUGUCCUCGCAGCCUCGACCAUGGCUUUCUCCUCGUCUUCGUCGUCCUCUAGUGGAGAUCGCGACCUCGCUCUUUAUCCUCCUUCUCUAGAGGGCUUCGUUUCGGAUUCUCGUGCGAACAGAGGUUGCGGCUCGGAUUCGUCAUCGGAGAAGGAGAAGUUUGCGCCGAGGUUCGAUGGAUUGAAAUUCAUUGAGACUUUGGUAACUGCUCAUAGAUAAUACAAUCCUUAACCCUUAGGGGGGACCGUUCUCGUUCUUCGCUUCGUCUCUUUAAUCGUCGUCGUCUUUUUUUCUUUUUUGUUAUCAAGAUUUUGCGUAUCGUAUUCAGUUCCAGUAUGAUUAUUAGAAAGAGAGAUUUUGUUUUUUUUACAAUUUGUGGAGUGAUUUUACUUGACUUCGAGAAGUCAUGGAAAAAAGGAAAAUCAAGAGAUUUUGUGCGAGUUGCUCUUGUCUGUAACGGAGUUUGAAUUGAAAUUCAUUAUUGAAUGAUCUGUGUGUGUGAGAAUAUGAAGAAUUUUCUUUAGAAGCUUUUAUUUUUAAAUUGAUGGAGUAAAAAUGAUCGGAUCGUGGAUUUGUAAA
Cucurbita pepo subsp. pepo (vegetable marrow) is the source of this 799-nucleotide non-coding RNA. Lineage: Eukaryota; Viridiplantae; Streptophyta; Magnoliopsida; Cucurbitales; Cucurbitaceae. The record is from RefSeq and is a predicted model, not a curated record.